RNAcentral lists this ribosomal RNA (523 nucleotides) under uncultured Hanseniaspora. RNAcentral describes it as "eukaryotic LSU rRNA". It matches the Rfam family "Eukaryotic large subunit ribosomal RNA", at positions 62 to 584 of the family's 3401-position model. The record is from RNAcentral. Lineage: Eukaryota; Fungi; Ascomycota; Saccharomycetes; Saccharomycodales; Saccharomycodaceae.
AAACCAACUGGGAUUACCUUAGUAACGGCGAGUGAAGCGGUAAAAGCUCAAAUUUGAAAUCUGGUACUUUUAGUGCCCGAGUUGUAAUUUGUAGAAUUUGUCUUUGAUUAGGUCCUUGUCUAUGUUCCUUGGAACAGGACGUCAUAGAGGGUGAGAAUCCCGUUUGGCGAGGAUACCUUUUCUCUGUAAGACUUUUUCGAAGAGUCGAGUUGUUUGGGAAUGCAGCUCAAAGUGGGUGGUAAAUUCCAUCUAAAGCUAAAUAUUGGCGAGAGACCGAUAGCGAACAAGUACAGUGAUGGAAAGAUGAAAAGAACUUUGAAAAGAGAGUGAAAAAGUACGUGAAAUUGUUGAAAGGGAAGGGCAUUUGAUCAGACAUGGUGUUUUUGCAUGCACUCGCCUCUCGUGGGCUUGGGCCUCUCAAAAAUUUCACUGGGCCAACAUCAAUUUUGGCAGCAGGAUAAAUCAUUAAGAAUGUAGCUACUUCGGUAGUGUUAUAGCUUUUUGGAAUACUGUUAGCCGGGUA